CACGGCGUCUGCGCAGUGAGACUCCAGUAGCCAAUUACAGACCUUGGACUCUGGUGCAGCAAGAACACGCUUUGGGCGCAGCCUGAUGAAGGGCAUCAUGGUUUACUGCCAGCACCAGCGUGGGAUGAAAGCAGGGCUAUGUGGCUGUGUGAAUUACAACUAAGUUAAAUCCUUUUGAACUCAGAUCUUCACAGCCUUCAGACACCAGAUCACGACUUCCAUGGCAUUUCCUGGAUGGCCUGGGCUUGAUGUAUAUUGAUGAUACCAAAUUCCAGAUGGUUGGAUUACUUUACCCAGUGCUUUCAUUAGGCUUUAAAUAAAAUAGACAAGAGAGUCAAGCUUUAUGAUAUAUCAUACAGAAAUGCCAGAAGGUUCAACACACAGUGACUAGAACUGCCUAUUCAGGAAGGAGCAGAGCCACCAUAAAACAGUGCCCCAAUUCCCAACUGUUACAGAUGGUCCAGAAGGAUACCAUGGUUGAUGUUACUGAAGGCUGUUGAGACAUCUGGCAGGAUGUUAGCACUCUUCAUGUUUCUAGCAGUCCAACUCUCUUUUACAGCCAAUUUCUGCUUCUGUCGUGAUAGGAACAGAAAUGCAGAACAAUGCCUUGAGAUACACCCAUGUUAAAUGUAUAUUUACAAAUGUAAGCCUAGUUGUCAGAUCACAAAUAUAGCUCUCUCUGUCAGGGUAUUCUUGUUGAACAGGUGCUAGAGAGAGAGCACAGAUCCUUCAGCACCGAUCAUUCCCAUUCUCAGUUUGAAGACCUUGCUUACAUGAUGACAACCAUGCUGACCAGUCACGCUCCCUCACAUGAGACGAACCUCCCAUCUUCUGGUGAUGGGAGAUCUUCCCUCCGAACACACAGUUACUGGAUUCAAGCUGCUCAGUCAAGCUGAAGAGCAGAGAUAUCAAGACAUGAGUGCUAAGAUUUUGUGACAAGCAUCUAAAUAUUUAAAGAA
Long non-coding RNA from Python bivittatus (Burmese python), 959 nucleotides. RefSeq lists it as uncharacterized. The record is from RefSeq and is a predicted model, not a curated record. Lineage: Eukaryota; Metazoa; Chordata; Lepidosauria; Squamata; Pythonidae.